CCUACGGGAGGCAGCAGUGAGGAAUAUUGGUCAAUGGGAGAGAGCCUGAACCAGCCAAGCCGCGUGAGGGAAGACGGCCCUAUGGGUGGUAAACCUCUUUUGUCGGAGAACAAAACCCGGGACGUGUCCCGGACUGCGUGUAUCCGAUGAAAAAGCAUCGGCUAACUCCGUGCCAGCAGCCGCGGUAAUACGGAGGAUGCGAGCGUUAUCCGGAUUGAUUGGGUUGAAAGGGUGCGUAGGCGGUCCGUUAAGGCAGCGGUAAAAUUGCGGGGCUCACCCCCGACGAGCCGUUGAAACUGGCAGACUUGAGUUGGCGAGAGGUACGCGGAAUGCGCGGUGUAGCGGUGAAAUGCAUAGAUAUCUCGCAGAACUCCGAUUGCGAAGGCAGCGUACCGGCGCCAGACUGACGCUGAGGCACGAAAGCGUGGGGAUCGAACAGGAUUAGAUACCCUAGUAGUC
Molecule: ribosomal RNA, 459 nt
Filed under: uncultured bacterium
Lineage: Bacteria
Description: partial 16S ribosomal RNA
Rfam family: Bacterial small subunit ribosomal RNA
Source: RNAcentral